Molecule: long non-coding RNA, 9985 nt
Filed under: Malus domestica (apple)
Lineage: Eukaryota; Viridiplantae; Streptophyta; Magnoliopsida; Rosales; Rosaceae
Description: long non-coding RNA (MDOM_LNC007282)
Source: RNAcentral
CCCCUAAAUAAGCCUUGGUUAUUCUGGCCGCAGCCGAAGACGAAACCAGUAAAAACAUCUGUUGAAGUCAAAGUUAACUUCUCGCUGGCAAAGAAGCCGAUUGUGAAGGAGCGGUCUCCAUACUGUUGGCCGUAAACACAGGUGGAGGCGGAACAAUCGCUGGGGACACCGGAGGCUGCAAGUUGAGAACACGCGGCGGAGUUGCAGGAGAUGUUGGAGUAAGAGGUAGAGAGAGAAGGGUCGAAGAUGGGAUCUUUCUGUUUGUAACAAGAUACAGAACAUGGUCGGCACUGUGUCCAAGUGAGACUGCUGCCGGUGUCGAAUACAAGCGAGAGUUGCUUCUGGGGCGAGCCCAAGCCGACACUGACGAUGUAGUUUCCAGAACCAAGUACGCUGGCAGACUGGGCGGGAAUCACGGUGGCUUCUGAUUGUGCAAGUGGGUCGGGGAUUCUGUAAUUACGGUUUGAGUCGUUGAAAUGGGAGUGGAUUGAGUUGACUCGGGCUUCGUCUUGCUUGAGGAUUUGUAUGUGAUAUUCAUCUUGAUCGGAAGGGUUACUGUUUGAUUUGACUUGGUGGACUUGGUUGCAUGGGCCGUAUUUGUGGACCACUUUCAGUACGGAUGCCGCCUUAUUGUCAUAACCUGAAUUGAGAAAUGUAUAGGUUUGUCGUUAGAUACAAUUUUUUUUUAACAAACGAUAUUAUCUACAUACUUACAUGGUGCCAAUUACUUUUAUGAAGUACAAUAUAUAUAAGUGUGUGUGUGUGUGUGGUGACACGAGUUGUUUUUACACAUGCUUUUAUGGAGCCUAUUCGUAAUGUAUUUCAAUGAUCUGAACUGUUUAUCUUUUAUGUUUCCCCUCAAAGAUCUUGUUUGCCAAAAAUAACCUAGAUCUAAAAUCAUAUGACUGUUGGAUUAACGAUUUAGGUUUUUUUUUUUUUUUUUUUUUUUUUUUCGUAAAACCAUAUUUGUCAAUUUUCUUCACUAAAAGAUAGACGGUUCAUAUCGUUAAAAUACAUGACGGAAUGGGUACAAAAUUAAAAAUAGAAACAUAUGAUACAAAUUUUACCCAUAAAUAUAAACAUACCAAAUGUAACACUUAUGACACUAAAUAGAUUUAUUUGGAAAAUUAAACUUAAAUAUGCUGACAUGUAAUUAUUUCAUUACUAAAAUAAUGACAUAGAUAAAAAUAAAAAUAAAAUAAGAUUUCAAUCGAUGGAAUAGAAAAAUGAGGGAUUUAAACCUAAUUUUUCUAUUAAAAUAUUUCCAUGAACUUGGCACUCAUUCAACACAAUGCAUGCAAUGAUCCAUAUAUAAAGCAAGUAGAAUACGCUUCAUUGAGAUUGAAAAGACAACAUAUGCGUGCAUGGAUAGAGGAGUUAGCUAGAGAGAGAUAUGGGAUCGACCAUUGGUGGAGGGUCUGCAGGUGUUUGCUGGUAGAAGAGAGAUGACUUCAACUGUGUAAGUACGUGAAAGGAGGUUUGUUUUUGUAUCUCUUACUGCCAAAGAGCAGAGAAUUAGGCAUAGAAAUGCUGAUAAACCAAUGGAAAAUCUAAGGAAGGAGGAGGAGCUAGAAAUGGGAGUUGCCAUGAUAGCAGAUUAGCAAGUCUUCUUGCUAUUUCCUCUAGAUUAUGUUGCUCCUGUAAGCAUACGAUCUCAACCUUAUAUACUAAUUGGAAAUUGGAAGACAUGCAGGGAUGGCCACCGUGUUGUCGGGUUUAAUUAUUUUUCUAUUGAAAAGUACAUUGAUCAAUUGGUAAUUACCUACCACCACUCAACUCGUCAAAGUCCAUAGAGACCAUAUAUACACCAACGUUCUCAACACGUUCAAGUCCACUAUAUUACUUCGUUGCAUUCCUCAAGGGACUGUUAGAGAAUAUUACUCGAGUUCAUCCGAUUGUGAUUAAGAAAUCUCGUUAAACAAAUGUUAUUGACAUGCCCCAACUUCGAUAUCCCCAAAUACCAGAAUGGACACAUGUUGGCCGACACUCGAGUGUGACGAAGCCAUAAUGAUACGCAUGCAAGUUAUAAAAGAAGAACGAAUGUAAAUAAAAAUAGGUAAAUUUAAAAUAUAAUGGAAUGUGGAAAUGCAGGAACAUGUUUAGAGUAUACAUCUAAUCAAGAAUAAUGUGAAAGAAUUAUUAUACAAAGGUACAAAUAAAGGAAUGGGUUCUACGCUGAGAAGACUCGAAGAUACCCAUGUGAAAGUGCCCUGACGCCAGGAUCGUACGCCUCGAUUCUAAAUCCUAAAGGGAGCUGUUUGGGCCCAAAAUAAUAGUUUGGGCCGAGGGCAGGAUCACUCUCGGCCUAGGAAGCCGUGCGGCGAAAGGAUUAUGGAUCGGUCAGCUCAUGGGCUUCCAAGCCCAGGUCAGUUAAAUCAGAACGCAAGUCGAGUCCUAGUAUAAUCAGGACUCUCGACGAGAUCAGUAGUCUGGAAGGCGAAUCUGGUUCAGUUAAGGACCAAAUUCGUAGUCCUAGUGGAGAUAGGACUGGUCGAGGUGAUGUUAAUCCGGAGAAGGAAACAUAGUCCGAUUAGGAUUGUAACUCGGGCUCGGUGUUCCGCUACUAUAAAUACAAGACAUUCAGCGACGGAAAAAAGUCCCCUGCAAAUCAAUACAAAAUUGCCCUGCGCAAACUCUCACAACUUGAGAUCUUUUCUUUUUCCUUUUUUCGCUGACACAUCUUCCGUUGGCAUCAACAGCACUGUGGAAGCAACCGGUGAUAUCUUAAGUCGGCAUAGAUAGCUCUGUCACCGUAGAGUCAGUCGGUCUUGCAGUAUCUUCCGUUGGCAUCAACAGCACUGCGGCGAGAACGAUUGAUUACCUAUCCAAGUCUCGGUCGAGAAGGGUUUCUGAAUCCUUAUUGGUCGAGGUCAUCUCAUUAGCCUUUUCGGCGAAGUGAGGUGUUACAGUUAUUAUAUUCGGCACGUUGAAAGCCGAAUUCGGUUCGUGAACUUCGUAAGAAUAGCAGCCUUGUCUUCAGGCUCGAGAACCCAAGAGGCCGAGACGUGUUCCUUUCUCGGCCGCAAUCGCAAGACGCAGAAGUCAGUAGCGCGACCCAACGCAACAUCAACAAAUUUACUCCUCGGCCGAGCUCGGCCGACGAGUUGGCACGCCCCGCAUUCAUCGAAGGACGUAGUUAGCUCAUUAAUUACUCGGCCUGCGCGCCACGUAGGCUUGGUAGUUUUUAGGGUCAACCUGAGCGUAAAACAAAGGGUGAGUGGACCAAAGUGUAUAAUGCUAAUACUAAUAAUAGUAAACCAUUUUCUUUCUGAACAUAUUAACCCAUUGUUCUGAAAACUCAAAUAGUACUACAUAAUAGGUUUUAUGAAAACUCUAGCAUGUCAUGAAAACGUUCAUAAAACAUGUACUAUAAACCAGUGCUCAGUAAUGGUAUCAUAGUCACCCGAAGUCAAAUCCAUAAAACCUUCGAAAAUCCAAAAUAGUAAAGUACUCAACUAGGGGUAUCAUAGUCGCUCAAAGGUAUAACCAUCACCUGAAGGUGAAGCUGUAAGAAAUAUAACAUAACACAUCGACACUAGCCGUGGCUAGUGAAGCUGUCUGACAUUGGUUUCAUCAAUGAUGCUGGGAUUAUGUCAUAAAUAUCCUCAACUCUAUCCUAUGGCCUUAGGUGACUACAUACGCGUGUUGUGUGUAUGUGCUGUAUGAUAACCCAUUAGAUAAGCACAAAAAAUGUAUCUCAAAAUCUCAUAACAAAUCACCGGAGCUAAAAUACUCAAAGCAUCAAUUCAUAAACCAUGAUAAUUCAUAUCGUUUCAUAAAAUGUAAAUUCAAUAAAUCGUAAAUAAAUCAUAAAACAUACAAUCAUGAAAUCAUGCUUUUCGUGAAUGCAACCCUAAUAUUUUAUAAAACAUGCAAAUUAAGAAGACACUCACAAAUAUUCUGUUGGCGGGGAGUCGCUCGAACUAGAAAGGACGGGGCCACUUCCAACCGACACACCUAAAUACAAAUAAAGAGCAUUUAAUAAAAUUCUACUAAAACAUUAGAAUUUGGAAAAACAGAUAGCGGAUUCGGAUUUGGCACGUUGAAAAACCUAAGGAGGGACCUUGGGUUCCCCUACGUGCCACCACUGAGCGGCGGCCCGAAAUGCCACCUGCCACCACACAUGCCGCCACGAAGCAGUGGCCUGGAAGGACACGCACCACCGCACUCGUAGCACGUGCUAAUAUGGUAGCUGAAAAAUUCGCCUACACCGUCAUGGAUGGUGGCUGAGCACAGUACCUCCGACGGAGGCAUGUAUGCUCCACACACCGACUAUGGCAAUCCUCCACGGGCACCCAUGCGUGGCCUACGCUUCAACUAAGGAAUCUGGGAAUUGGGUCUAGGUCGUGUCGGAUCUGGGCUUUAGGUUCCUGGGUCGGGUCUGAUCCGGAUCGAAUCUAGGCUUUGGGUUACUGGGUUGGAUCUAGGCUAGGGUUAAUGGGCCAAACAUUUGGGUUGCAUGGCCCAAAUGUUUGGGUUGGGUUAUCGGUUGUAGGUAGAGUUUAACUCGAUUUCAGGCCGUGGGUCAACCAGAUUCCACAAAGAAGAAAGCCGGAGCUUGGAAAGCUUCGAUCAUCCCCAAGACUCAACUGAAACUAGUCAUUCAAUAUACCAAAUUGAAGUCCAAAGAACAAGGAGUUGAAAUAUACCUUUGGUUUCCUCGACCGUGGCCGGAGUUGGCCGGAAAAUGGCUUGGAAGUUCAAGUUCUCAUCGAAAAACUAGGGAAGUCUCCCCGAGCUGAUUUCAUGUUUAAACUUUCACCAAAAUCAUUUUUAUUCAACCAUUGAAUACUCUAGACCACGUGGGAAGAACAUCAAAGGGUGGUUCGUGACUUAUCUUUGUCGAGGACGGCAAUAACUCAUCGGGAAAGGUUUGCAUAGUAAAAGCACUUGCUGUGCAGUGGAAAAGAUUGAGGAGAAGGGGGUGAUCUCGUCUUGUGCUCGCUGAAGUGGGAUGGUGGUUAAGGUCCAAAUGUAUGUGGGUGUGAGUGUGUGAGGGUGUGCUCGGCAAUGGAGAAGGAAAGAGUUGCAAAGAUGGGGGAGAGACAAGGAGAGAAAGAGAGAGUUCUAAAGAGUCAUUGGGAAGAGAAAUGAGAGAAAAAAGAGGGAAAAGAAAGAGAGGGCAGGGAGACAACAAAAUAGGGGUGGGCCCCACUGGUACACCAACCAAAGUGAGAAAAUUUGAAAUGAGAAAAUAUCUCGCGGGACAUAAAAUUACCAAGAUGCCCUACUGUUCCAAAUUUUGUAAAAUUCACGUUUUAGCUUCAAAUUCAAUUCCACUUGCCCCCAUGCGUUCGUAGCGACGCAUGCUAUAAGGAUAUGCCAAAGAAACGAAUCUCAAGUGACACAACAAGGCGGUUAACAAAAGUCAACGUUUUUCACCUCGGAUGGCAUUUUCGUAAAUUCACGAUUUAAAAUUAUAAAAACCCUAAAAUUGGGGACUAGUUAUCACAGUUAUAAUUGAAAUUGUUUAUUUUUUUAAUUAAAAAUUUUGCUACAUUGAAGAGUUUCAAACAAUAAAUCUAAAUUACUCUUACCUAUAAACAUAGACCUGCCCACACCACUAGUUUUCUUAAUCAUAGUUUAAAUAUUUAUCAUCUCUAAAAAUAAUAAUAAUAAUAAGAGAACAUUUGUAGUUCACAAUGAAAUUUUUGAAGUGCUAAAUUAGCACUCAUUCAUUAUUUCAACCAAGUUUUAAUAUUAAUAAAAGUAGUAGAUGGCACUUUAUUGCGUAGAGGUGGGUUAGAAAAACCAAAAAUCGAAAAAAAAGGAUUGAAAACCGAACUGUAAUCGAAAAAAAUUGAACCAAAAGUACAAAACCGAAUCGAACCCCUUUAGCCACUAAUUAUUCAAUAUGCCAAUCCCUUUGUUCACACCACCACCUCCCAUGGAUCAGGAAAUGCGUUUGCUCCGACUCAGGUGUUCGCACCGCCACCUCCCAUGAAUUUGUCCUCGGUGGCUUUGUUGCCUCCAGUGACCUUUUUCUUGGUGGGUCAUCUUUCACUAGCUUUCUUUGGUUUGUGGUUGUUGUUUUGAUCUACAUGGUGCUUUGUGGAGGUUGUUGGAGUUGUCUUUUCCAUCAUUUUUGUGGAUUUGGUUGGCUGUUUGGAAUUCUAAUUCUCGGCAAUGCAUUGCUUCUACUGCAGCAGUUCAAGAAGGAUUGUAGUGUCUUUGUUUGGUUUUUUCUGUUCUGGGCUCAAAACUUUGUUUUGGGGUUCCAUAUCUUUUUUUCCUGUUUUUUUUUUUUUUUUUUUUUUUUUUUGUAACUAGAUGUCUUUUCUUUGUAAUUUGGUGUGUUGUUAGUAAUAAAUUUACCUUUUAUAAAAGAAAACGUAUUAUUCAUGAUAAUUACUGUUACUUAUCCAUGAAUACUAGUUUCAAGUAACUUUUCAUACCAUGGUUGGUUAUAAAUAUAUAUGAAUCACACAUUCAUUCAUACAAUAAUUGAAUGUGGUGCAAAAGGGAAGUUAAUAAUGGUAAAGGCAAUCAAUGGUUCAAAUUUUUGAGUGAGAUAGUAAUGCAUCACGUCAUGUUAACAGUUUAGAAUUCAUGUAAUAAUACAUGUUAUAACUAUUACUAAUAUAUAUACAUAAAUUUGUCCUUGAUCAUUGUCAUAUUAUAACUAUUCGACAUGGCUUGCUAGUGCUGCUAUUAUGGUGGACUCUUGAAGUCUAUAAAGCAUGGUGGAGUGCUGGCUUAGGCAUUAGUGAGAGCUUGACCCACCUAAUUCAUCGACAUUUUCUUUCUUUUCUUUUUCCUCCAUCUUUUUAAUUUCUCUUUGCCUUUCCGAGACAUUUACGAGUGACAAAAAGGUAAACAUGAACGACUUUUGCCUCGUCGUGUACAAGGGGAGAUGCAAAGUUUGAGUUUUGUUGACCAGCUGCGUUUUUGGUAAAAAUUAACGACUUUUGACUCGUGCUUGGUCUACCUCGAAGAAUUGUGUGUAACAUUCAUGAUGAUCUGUAGCGGUUUUGGUUUUUUUGGUUGGGUUCGUGGCAAUGGCCAUGCAUGUGCACCACUAGUUCUGAUGCAUGUUUCUUUUUGUUGUGACCUGAAUUAGUGAAUCAAUUUCCAAACCUCUGUCAUCAAUUUCAAAACUUAAGCCAUCAAUUUCAAUUCCCGUUUCCCAUCCUCCACAUCCAUGGUUUCAUUCCUUACUUCUCCUACCCUUCCCAAGUGGCUCCGGGUUUCCUCGACCCCAUAUAUUUGCAGAUCUUCAGUCACUCUCCUCCAUCGCGUUUUGACGUGAUUCUCUCAGGAAGUGCAUACCUCUCUAAGAGGAUUUUUGUCAAACUAACCACUUCACUUAAUAAGGAUAUUGACAUAUUUUUCACAGAAUGAUCAAAAUGUUUACGGUGGACAAACUCAAGGACCACUUUCAUCAAUUUUCAUUAUCAGAGAACAAAGUGAAGAGUUAUGCCAAUUUCAUGAAACAUUUUAGUGAAAAAGCCUAGAACAAAAUAAACCUAGGAUCCCCCAUAGCCACUAAUUAUUCAAUAUGCCAAUCCCUUUGUUCACACCACCACCUCCCAUGGAUCAAGAAAUGCGUUUUGCUUCGACUCAGGUGUUCACACCGCCAUCUCCCAUGAAUUUAUCUUGGGUGGCUUCGUUGCCUCUGGUGACCUUGUUGUUGGUGGGUCAUCUUUCACUGGCUUUCUUUGGUUUGUGGUUGUUGUUUUGAUCUACAUGUUGCUUUGCGGAGGUUGUUGGAGUCGUCUUUUCCAUCAUUUUUGAGGAUUUGGUUGGUUGUUUGGAAUUCUGUUUCUCAGCAAUGCUUUGCUUCUGCAGUAGCAGUUCAAGCAGGAUUGUAUGGUCUUUGUUUGGUUUUCUGUUCUGGGCUCAAAACUUUGUUUUGGGGGUCCAUAUCUUUUUUUCCUGCUUUUUUUUUUUUGGUAAUAACUAGACGUCUUUUCUUCGUAAUUUGGUGUACUGUUAGUAAUAAAUUUACCUUUUAUAAAGCAAAACGUAUUAUUCAUGAUAAUUACUGUUACUUAUCCAUGAAUACUAGUUUCAAAUAACUUUUUCAUACCUUUGUUGGUUAUAAAUAUAUGUGAAUCACACAUUCAUUCAUACAAUAAUUGAAUGUGGUGCAAAAGGGAAGUUAAUAAUGGUAAAGGUAAUCAAUGGUUCAAAUUUUUGAGUGAGAUAGUAAUGCGUUACAUCGUAUUAACAGUUUAGAAUUCAUGUAAUAAUCGUGUUAUAACUAUUAAUAAUAUUUAUACAUAAAUUUGUCAUUGAUAAAUGUCAUAUUAUAGCUAUUUGACAUGGCUUGAUAGUGCUGCUAUUAUAAUGCUUACUACAUAAUGAUGUCAGUGGAGGACAUCCAUGCAUGCUGGAACUGCAGGAAUAUGGAAUCGUGAAUUUUAAUUCAAGUGGUAAUUAGCAAGUCAAUGGCGGUCCACUCUAACUUUGACAUUUAAGUCGUUGUCUUACGCUAAUUACUAAAAUGAGUUUAAUUAGGUCUGUCUUAUCAGUUCAAACAACCCAAAAAAUUCCAAACCCAAAAGAAAAAUCAAACCAAUACUUGACAAAUCAAACCAAUACUUGUGUAGUAUUUUGCAGACAGAGACAGAUUUGGAAAAGAUAUGUAUGGCCGAGAGAAAGCAAUUCCUGUCAAAUAUCGUUGAUCAAGUUUUCCAAGCUAGAAACUACGUAGCACGUACGCUUAUUUCCUGGUUGCACAUUUAGAUGUCCCUUUUACAAGUCAAUACUAAUUAAGUCAUCACCUCGAUUACAAAAUCAUAAUAUUUGGGCAACGACUCAUACUCUAAACAUCAUACUAGUAAUCACUUUCAACCUCAUGCCAUACGCUAUACGUAUUAUAUGUCACAUAAUUGGUAUUAAAAUGGGAAGCCCACGAUUUUACCGGACCUAGAAUCGUGGUAAGUGACUAAAUCAAAACAGAAAACAAACUUGUCCCUCAAGUAUAGGAGGGUUAUUAGCACGACCUGAAAUAAAACCCUAAAAACAAGGAACCCUAUCAACUAGGAAAUCCCAACAACUUCAACAAUAAAUCAUUGGCAACCAGCAGGUGCAAAUCCAACCUUUCCACCAGCAACGUCAUACACUACCUGCAACCUCUUCUGUUGAACGUUCCCAAUAAUCCCAACACUACUAUCAUCUUUGUUUCCGGCAAACGCCAAGCAAAACUGCGAAGCACUCUGCUGGAAUAAUAUUCCUGUUGCGUCCACGUCUACCGUAACCCCAUUGCCAAACACAAACCCUAUCGUUGGAAAGGUUAUCGUUUUGAAUCCACUGAAGUCGUAACACGUGUCCAGCAGGGAAGAAAUCGACUUAGCAGUUGGGUAUCUCUUCAUCACUUCUCGAAAUGCGUCCCGCAGCGCUGUGUACGCUGUGGCUGGGAGGCGAGUGAUGACCGUCCCCGAGUCGAUGAUUGUCCCCGAAAUCGAAAAUACUGAAGCCGAAAUUGGCAGUUGACUCCCACCGAUGUUGAUGCCGACCAGUCCGAGGCUGUAAUACGACGCGCCUUGAGAUAAUGUGGUGAGCGGCGUGAACUUGACGGCGUUACCUGAACUUCUGUUGUCGGAGUUACCUAAACUGAGGUAACCAGUGGAGCUUGAAGUGGAAGGGAGGCAGUAGGAGAAGAAUCUCUUGUACUUCUGAGCGGUUUGUUCAACAAGGGAGAUCUUGCUUCGACCGAGACCGAGCAAACCGGCGAUGCCCCUAAAUAAGCCUUGGUUAUUCUGGCCGCAGCCGAAGACGAAACCAGUAAAAACAUCUGUUGAAGUCAAAGUUAACUUCUCGCUGGCAAAGAAGCCGAUUGUGAAGGAGCGGUCUCCAUACUGUUGGCCGUAUACACAGGUGGAGGCGGAACAACCGCUAGCGACACCGGAGGCUGCAAGUUGAGAACACGCGGGGGAGUUGCAGGAGAUGUUGGAGUAAGAGGUAGAGAGAGAAGGGUCGAAGAUGGGAUCUUUCUGUUUGUAACAAGAUACAGAACAUGGUCGGCACUGUGUCCAAGUGA